GUCCCCGCUUCGGCAGCACAUAUACUAAAACUGGAACAAUACAGAGAAGAUUAGCAUGGCCCCUGUGCAAGGAUGACACAUAAAUUCAUGAAGUGUUCCAUAUUUUA
Small nuclear RNA from Cavia aperea (Brazilian guinea pig), 107 nucleotides. The record is from Ensembl. Lineage: Eukaryota; Metazoa; Chordata; Mammalia; Rodentia; Caviidae.